RNAcentral lists this ribosomal RNA (1425 nucleotides) under uncultured delta proteobacterium. RNAcentral describes it as "bacterial SSU rRNA". It matches the Rfam family "Bacterial small subunit ribosomal RNA". The record is from RNAcentral. Lineage: Bacteria; Deltaproteobacteria.
AGAGUUUGAUCCUGGCUCAGAAUGAACGCUGGCGGCGUGCUUAACACAUGCAAGUCGAACGAGAACGGGAUUGCUUGCAAUCCUUAGUAGAGUGGCGCACGGGUGAGUAACACGUAGAUAAUCUACCUUCAAGCCUGGGAUAACUAUUCGAAAGGAUAGCUAAUACCGGAUGAAGUAUGUUGGCAUAAGCUGACAUAUGAAAGGUUGCCUCUUCUUGAAAGCAAUUGUUUGGAGAUGAGUCUGCGGACCAUUAGUUUGUUGGUGGGGUAAAGGCCUACCAAGACUACGAUGGUUAGCUGGUCUGAGAGGAUGAUCAGCCACACUGGAACUGACACACGGUCCAGACUCCUACGGGAGGCAGCAGUGAGGAAUUUUGCGCAAUGGGGGAAACCCUGACGCAGCAACGCCGCGUGAGUGAAGAAGGCCCUUGGGUCGUAAAGCUCUGUCGACAGGGAAGAAAUUACUUUGUAUUAAUAGUAUAUUGUAUUGACGGUACCUGUAGAGGAAGCACCGGCUAACUCCGUGCCAGCAGCCGCGGUAAUACGGGGGGUGCAAGCGUUAUUCGGAAUUAUUGGGCGUAAAGGGCGCGUAGGCGGUCUUAUCGGUCAGAUGUGAAAGCCCGGGGCUCAACCCUGGAAGUGCAUUUGAAACAGCAAGACUUGAGUACGGGAGAGGAGAGCGGAAUUCCUGGUGUAGAGGUGAAAUUCGUAGAUAUCAGGAGGAACACCGAUGGCGAAGGCAGCUCUCUGGACCGAUACUGACGCUCAGGCGCGAAGGUGUGGGUAGCGAACAGGAUUAGAUACCCUGGUAGUCCACACAGUAAACGUUGUUCACUCGGUGUAGCGGAUAUUAAAAUCUGCUGUGCCCAAGCUAACGUGGUAAGUGAACCGCCUGGGGAGUACGGUCGCAAGACUAAAACUCAAAGGAAUUGACGGGGGCCCGCACAAGCGGUGGAGCAUGUGGUUUAAUUCGACGCAACGCGAAGAACCUUACCUGGAUUUGACAUCUCGGGAAUCCUAUCGAAAGACUGGAGUGCCCUUCGGGGAACCCGAAGACAGGUGCUGCAUGGCUGUCGUCAGCUCGUGUCGUGAGAUGUUGGGUUGAGUCCCGCAACGAGCGCAACCCUUAUCUUUAGUUGCCAUCAGGUAAUGCUGGGCCCUCUAGAGAGACUGCCGGUGACAAACCGGAGGAAGGUGGGGAUGACGUCAAAUCAUCAUGCCCCUUAUGAUCUGGGCUACACACGUGCUACAAUGGCCGGUACAACGGGCAGCGAAGGAGCGAUCCGGAGCAAAUCCUAAUAAGCCGGUCCCAGUUCGGAUUGUAGGCUGCAACUCGCCUGCAUGAAGUUGGAGUUGCUAGUAAUCGCGAAUCAGAAUGUCGCGGUGAAGGCGUUCCCGGGUCUUGUACGGGAAACAGCUAUGACCA